UUUUCGUGGACCAACCUAUUAGAAGGGCACGGUAAACCCCGUUAUAUCUUACCUCAGUAUGAGAGGCGCGAGUGGAUAACUCCUGAGGCUGACACUUUUAGAGUUCACUUCACGCCAAACCACCACAUGAGGGUGAACUCAGCCAACGCCAAUGAACGGCUAUGUUUUCAAAAUAAAAACAUAAUUUAUGUGUACAUGACUUUUUAACAGCCUUUGCGGACUCGGUUGGGAUAGCCCUCGAUCAAGGCAUCCCUAAUAACUGAGUAUGAGAAUGAUUUUUGGCACGAGUCAAGCUUUUCAGGAAAUCAUAGGCCUAGUUGUUUAUUUGGUUGAAAUAAGUUGAAAGGUAAUGAAAUUACAGUAUGAUGAUUUAUUUUAAUUGCCUCCAUUUACUCGGCUUUAGAUAUUUUAGAUGGUAUUUGUUUACUCACUGGGAUUAUAUAAUCUCAUCACCCUCCUUUCCACCCAUUUCAAGCUCAGGAUAGUGUGUAGAUAGCUGAUAUCGUCAAAGGCUAUGGUCGGCUUUACUACUCCAAAAAUUAUUGGUUUACUGCCUUUGUGCACUUUUGUUCCUUGUGGGCCCACAAGUCACUGUAAAGUAAAUUUCAUAUCCCGGUUAUCUGUAUUGUAGUACGUAUGAAUUUAUUUAGCUUAUACAUUCCAAAAAAAAUUAAUUAUCGAUGACUCUAUAAAUAUUGUUUUACAAGAAAUUAGAAUAUUUUAUUGAAUAUUUUUAUUUUAUUCAAAUAGUUGCAAUAUCAUUUUUAAUAAAUGUUUUAGACAUUCAAAUUUAUUUUAAAUAAUGAAAUAUGUGUUUUCCACUCAUCUACUACAUUUUUAGUCGGGUUCGAAAAAUUUUGAGGAAAAAUGACAAAAACGGCCUUAUGAGGCGAAAAUUAUUUCUCCACGAUUUUGAAAGGGAAAAAGCUUAAAAUUCUUUAAAAACGAGGUUUCGCGAUGAUUACUCACAGGGGAGCUGAGAAAAAUGGUACUAAAGCCUUACGAGAUUCCGGUUGGCACUUCGGGUAACAAAUGUCUACUAGGACGUCGUGGCGGUUGUCACGGGCCCAAAGGGAGUACCGGGUCAUGACAAUUUUAUUGGUAUCAGAGCUUUUGAUUUUAAAGAUAAGAGUUUUUGGUUUAAAAGUUAUUUGAAAAGCUAUAGUCCCAGUGUGGCCCAAGUUAAGUUAAGUUAAGUUAGGUUUGAUAGAAUAGAAUACGCGCAUCUGCAUAUAGAAUUUGGAGUUGUUUAGACUCGUUUUAUUUCUUCUUAUAGAUCUUAUGGGAGCAUAAGUCAUAGACAAGGAGCUAUAUGAACUCCUGUUCCUAGUAAUCCACUUCUUUGUUAAUGUCAUGGAAAGGUCAUAAGUAGGGUCGUUGUUCGAGUUUAAGAUGUUACCCGUGACACGAGCCAGUGUUAGAGAGAUCUUAAAAUGAAUGCUCUUAAUGAAAAAUUAAUGAAAUGAUAUAUCCCUCUGAUUAAGGAUGGAGAAAUUUGGAGUUGGACUAAUAGGCCGUGAUAAUUUAUUCAUUUGGUGGAGUUAUAAUUGAACUCAUGGUUGUCAAUCAGAAAAAGAUUUGGGGACUAUGAGAUUUCAAGAAUUGAUUGGACCUAUUAUAGUUCAUGGAUAUAAGCACAUGAAUUAACUCAAGAGUGAGUAUCAAUGAUUACUAUAAUUGAUGUGUGGUCAUGAAGUAAGAAGUUAGUAAACAAAUCUGUUCUAAGGAUGAGCUUGAACUUAGCUGUGCAUAGAAAAAGAGGGAGCCAAUGGAUUAAAGGACUAAAUAUGGAAUUGGUAGCUUGAGGUUAAAUGACUUGGAAAUGUCGAAUCUAUUCUAAGUGCCAUAUGAAGUUCUAUAAUUGAGACUGAUUACGAAUUACUUGAAAGAUCAAUUUAAAAGUUUAUUUUGUUCAAAGUGUGGUCUAUGAUACGAAUGAUCAGUCUUGAAGGUGAUCUCCCCAGAGUAAGGAAUUUUGAAAUGUGGAUGCUUGGAUAUACUCUAAGAGAGAGAACUUCUGCAUCCUACGUUUAAGACAACUUUGAUCUUAUGAUCGCAAAGGCAAGGUGUAAUAACUAAGUAAAUUUUUCGCUUAACAAAUGUGAUUGGUUAUUGAUGGAUAAAGUCAAGAUCUUAACAUUUAGUGGUGUACAAUUUGAUAAUUAUGUAUUUAAGAGUUAAUUGGAGACAAUUCCUUUAUUAAAUUUGCACUAAAUGCUAUGGUAAAGGCAUAUCAAUGUUAAUAUGGAAAUGUAUCCAGAAAUGAUCUUAACAUAUCACCAAAGGAGAAUUAAACAUGUUGAAAUUAAUGUUCUAAUAGUGUGCAUACGAUCGAAAGCUAGUUUGUAAGUUGUAGUUUUCAUGAUCAUGAAAUAUAUAAAGAUUAUCAAUAUAUGGACAUAUACUUGGAGUUGUAAUUUACAAGUUUGGAGUAUUUAAGAUAUGAUUAAAUGGAAUUGGCAUUAGUUAAGGUAUGUAAAUCUUCUAAUUAAAUUCUGUGGAGUAUGCAUGAUAGUAGAAUGGAGGAAUAUAGUGUCAUGAUACUAUAUGGUGAAGUUACUAUAUAAUAUGGAAAGAGUGUUCUAAAGUGAGAUUUAUUGACUGAUGAUAAGUGAUGGGCAAUCUGAGAUACAUGUAGCUAUGAAUAAAUUUGGAGAUUUUUACUUGAGCAAACUCGUACUAAAUGUUAUGGUAAAGAUAUAUGAAUGUUAGUGGCAAAAUAAAUACGUUAAAUCAAUGUUCUGAUCGCACAUUUGUGAUAGAAAAUUAGUCUUGGUAAUUGUGGUAUAGACUUAAAGGGAAGCCACACGAUUGUGAAUAAUUGAGGUAGUAGCUUUAAAGGUGGAAGAGUUGCUGGGAUAAAGUGAAUUUAAAUAGUUGCAACACCACAGUACUGACUAUCAAACUCUGUCACGUUAAGAACCCUUAAUGGCUAGAAAGCAAGAGUAAACUGUAAGCGACAUAAAGAUGAAGCUCACGAGUUGAAAUAUGGUUAUUGGUUUUGAUGUUAAGCUUUGUUGUUGGAGUCUUAAGUUCAUUAGGGAGGUACUAAGAUAAAGAUGAUGAGUGAAAUUAUAGAGUUUCUUUAUUGCCUUAUAUAUGGGCAUGUAAGAGAAAGAAAAGUUAGAGAGUUUUUGAUAUGGCUACAUAAAAAAAUAAAUUAACAUGUGGAGUGUUAAAAGGAAUAAUAUGUUGACUAAAGCCAAAUCUUAAGAAAUAAAGUGAAUCUUGUAAAAGGUUAAAGAGGAAUUGAGGGAACGGUUAGAUGAAUAUAUGAGAUGUUGAUAAGAGAUGUCAAUACCAAGUGAUGAAAGUGUGAAUGGCGAUUUCAAGAAUGAUAUAGCAAAUGAGUUUAUAUAGAAUAUUGUUAUGAGAAUGUACUAAUCUUGUCUUGACUUUGUUGAAAAGAAAAGAUUAGUGACAACACAAGUAAAUUACGGGGUAUGAUAGAAAGCCUUGGAGAUAAGUUGAAGCAUGAGUAGUUGGGCAUGCCUUUAUGGAAAUGAUAUACUUGGAGUAUGAAAGAGUAAAUAAGUGAUUAAGUGUUUCAAGAAUAUUUAAACAUCUUUGAGGAAGACUUAUAAAAUUAUACGAGAUUAGUAUGAGAUGUGUGAUUUUGAAAUUUGCUAAGGAGCCAAAUGGCUAAGUCACAAGUUAAUUGAUCAUAUGCUGUGAGGCAUAAGUCUAAGGUAGAUAUUCCCAAGGAAAUACUCAAGAAGAGUUUUGCUACGGAUUUUAUAGAAGCUAGCAUUAAAUUAUGUAGCUGUAAAGAGGAAGCCCUAAGUUGGAAGUGAAAUUCGUAUUGACAUUGAAAAGUACAUAGAAGAACCUUAUUUCAAGUCUUACAGUUUUAAGUACAAACUGCAUAUUGGUCUAGGGAGAAUGAUAUCACAUUAGUAUGGAAGAACAGAAUAAAGGAUGAAUGAAGAUAAUUUGGAUAAUGAAGCUUGAUAAUGAAAAUUUCCUAAGGUAAUAUGAAAAUUGGAGUUUGAAAAUGCAUAAGGCAUGCAUGAUUCGAAACAAUCUAAGUUUUUAAGAGACAUUUAGUAGGUGAGAUGUGAUUAAUGACAUUGUGAUGUGAGGAUAUAGCAUGAUAAAACUCAAGCAUAUGGUUGGAAAUGAUAUAAGUGAUAUGAAGUUAUACGCAAGUAUAAUAAGAAGGUUGACAUGCACUAUAAGAAUUAUUAUAUUGAAACUAGGAUUGGGAUGUGGAUGAAUAAAGGGGAAUGUAGUCCAAGGCAUGUGAACACAUGGAUCCCUAUACAUAAUGAGAGAUGUUGACAUUUGAAAAUGCAUGUACAUAUGUAUAUAUGAAAUUGAUAAUUUGACUAACUAAGGUGAAAAAUUGUUCUCAGUAAUUGGGAGAUUUUGAAAUAAUGUCCAGAGCGGUCAGUGAGCUAAAGUGUCAUCGGGCAUGCAAUAAACGAUUAAAGUUAUGAGUGACUUUGAAGGUAAACCUUGAAUUGUUUACGUUCUUAAUGGAACUCUAUUAAAGGAAGGGUAUGGACCAAUAUAAGAUGAAUGAAUUAAGGUUGAGAAAUUUGGCAUGGAGCAAAUUAAUAAAAUGAUGAUUAGGUAUACAUAAGUAAGAAUGAUAUGUGAUCGAAAUCGGUAUAAUUGAGAUGAAGUUAUGGUUCAAAUUUAAUAAGGGUGAUAAAGGUAUGCUUAGUGACUCGAUAUAAAAAAUCAUGAUUGUGAAAGGUAUUGCUGAUCUGGCUUCAAAGGAUGAUAAUUGCCAUAAAUAAAGCAUUUAAUUGAACUGAAGGUGAACGAGGUAAAUAAAUUGAAUGUCCCUAUAGAAGGAAAAAGGAAUAGGAUCAUAGAAGGAGAUUGAUAACGUAACAUCGACGUGAAUUCGAGGACGAAUUCUAUUUAAGUGGGGGAGAUUGAAAUGCCCCAUACUUUGAUAUGGAGAUAAAUAAAGUUGGUCGGAUGUGAAUUGAGGCAUAAUAAGGAACUUUGGGAACCAAGGAGAUAAGAUAAAAUUUUUAGAAUAAAAUAAUAUUAAAAUAUUAAUAUUUAGUCGAAUGUCGAAGUCAGUCAUGAAGAAGGAUCAUAUGGUUGAUCCAAGUGGGGGAGAAGAUGUCAAGCCUGACUUUGUAAAAUACUUGUCAUGACAUGCAUGUGAUUGACUGAAUGUUUACAUAUUAGGAGAGCCCCAAAAAAUCGACAAAAGUCGGUAUUGUACCUAGAGGUACAAUAAAGUUGAUUUAAGCCUCAAACUAGAUCAAAUAGAGAAUUUAAGAGGAAAUUAAGAAUUUUAAAGUCCCAGAAUGGUUUAAUAUGGUGAUUUGGAGUUCGAGAAUCAAUUUGGAGUCAAAUCGAAAAUUUCACUAUCUAGGGGUAAAAUGGUAAUUUUUCCACUGGAGGACAAAAUGGGAAAGUUUUUUCAAAGAUUUUGAUCAUAUUUGACUUAUUGGAGUGUGAUUUGAGGUUGAGAAGUGAAAAUUUGUAAUUUUUGUAUUUUUUAGAGAACAAGGGUAAAAUGGUAAUUUUACCACCCUAUGGGCAAAACAGUAAUUUUUCACCACCAGAACACUUGUCCAGCAUAUGAUUUUUAUCCAAAUUUAUCAUGGAUAAUUGAAGGAAUUUAUAUGGUGGAGAGAGAAAGCUUAAUAGAUAAGAAAUAAAAAUGGACCAAUGAAAUGGUGACACAUGGCAUAUUUAUAACCAUUAAAUAUUUAGCUUUAAAAUUAAUACAAAAUCAGCCCAUUUCUCAUUGAUAUGGCCGGCCAAAGAAGAACAAAGGAGGAAAGGAAAAAAAAACAAGAACCCUAGGUGGGAAAAUUGAAGAAAAAGUGUGGAAUUUCAAGGGAUUAAGCUAAUAAAGGUAAAAUUUCUUGAUUUUGACUUGUGAUUUACACUACCCAUGCUUUCUUUUUCAUUUUCCAUGGUUAGAUUUCAUGUUUUCAUGGUGAAUUCAUGGCUGGUUGGAAUGGGUAUGGAGAGAGAAUGAAGUUGGAUUGAUUUGAUUCUAAGUUAUGUUAGUGUUUUUAGUUAGUUUAUCAUGUCUAGAAAUAAACCAACAAGAAAAAUUCAGUUUCUCCCAUUACCCAUCAUUGGCCGAAUUUUCUAGGGAGGAUAUUGUGGCUGAAAUUGAUGAUAUUUCAUGAUAUUUUGGUGAUAUUUGAUGUUUGGUGAGGCUAGAAAUUAAAUGGGAAAUUUUGGUGUGAAAAUUUGAAUUUUUGCUUAACGUAUAGACAUGUGUGAUUAUUGACCCGAGACUGAUAAAUUGAAUCUCAUUCAUAGUCACUAAGGUAAUUUAGGUAUAAUUGGAGUGUAGAAAGUAAGAAGAAUUGAUUUGGAGUUAAAUUGAAGAUUUUAGCCGAUUAGACCGAGUAUAGUGUGACUUAGGUCGAAUAUCACAUUUAAGUGAUUAAUCGGACAUUUUGCAUCCCAUUGCAUGCAUUCUUUUAGAUUUAGAGAGCUUGAAAUAGUUUAUGAUAAAUUGACACAGUUUAUUGAAAUUCGUGUCACGUAUGAUGUAUAGGUGGUGAGCCCUCUAACAAGGGUAAAGAGUUGUGCCCGAAGAUCGAGAAUAGGAGUAUAUCGAACUCCUAGUAUAGUGAGUAACCUUACUAUCGUCUUAAUUAUCUAGAGUGGUUUUUAUUCGAUUUUGUGGAUUUUAUGGAAAAUGAGUUUAAAUGGUAAAUCUUUUUGUUUUACAAACAAAACGUGUUUAAAUAAAAUGAUUUUAUAAAUUGUCUUGAAAUUGAAUAAUGACUUUGAAAAUAGAGUAACUGGAGACCACUUGAGGUGUUGUAAAUUCAUGGUUUGAAUUGACUGGCUUAUGACAAUAUUUGCAUGAAUGGCUGAAUUGGUAUUUAUGUUGAAAUAUAUGAACUGUGUAUUUAGCCUUGAAAGGCUGUGAAUUACAAUAAUUGCCAUAUCAUGUUAUUGAAUUUUAUUGAUUGGUGGGAUAAUAAUGAGCUUACUGCAGUGGGCAGGUUUCCGUGGACCAGCCUAUUAGAGGGGCACUGUAAACCUCGUUAUAUCUUACCUCAGUAUGAGAGGCGCGAGUGGAUAACUCCUGAGGCUAACACUUUUAGAGUUCACUUCACGCCAAACCGCCAAGUGAGGGUGAACUCAGCCAACGCCAAGGAACGACUAUGUUUUCAAAAUAAAAACAGAAUUUAUGCAUACAUGACUUUUUAAUAGCCUUGGCGAACUCGGUUGGGAUAGCCCUCAAUCAAGGCAUCCCUAAUAACUGAGUAUGAGAAUGAUUUUUGG
This 7230-nucleotide long non-coding RNA is filed under the name Theobroma cacao (cacao). RNAcentral's name for it is "long non-coding RNA (TCAC_LNC004642)". The record is from RNAcentral. Lineage: Eukaryota; Viridiplantae; Streptophyta; Magnoliopsida; Malvales; Malvaceae.